GCCCAAUUUAUGUCCACAUCUAUCAUCUUGUUCCAUCACUAGCUCUAAAACCUAGCAAAAUAUAUGUGGUGCAGCUGACACUUGCCUAACAGAUAUUUUAACCAUGGCAACCACAGAUGUGGCUCUAUGAGAGUGGCAAGUAUACAGGGCAAAUAUCCUUGCCCAACAAGGGAAUGAUACUAAUUAGUGCAUUCGGUUAACAUACAGGUCAUACAAAGAGGUCAUAUAAUACCAUCAGCGGCACGAAACCAGAUCUACAAGGUCAAGACCAUAUGUAAGCAAUAGCACAUUUA
RNAcentral lists this unclassified non-coding RNA (293 nucleotides) under Hevea brasiliensis (rubber tree). Lineage: Eukaryota; Viridiplantae; Streptophyta; Magnoliopsida; Malpighiales; Euphorbiaceae. The record is from RNAcentral.